CUUUAACCAGCAAUGAUUAAAAAAAUUACUUUUCUUUUAAAGGAAUUUAUCAUGUCAGUAUUCAAUUAUUCAUUCUUCAGGAGCAUCGCAAAACAGUGAAUUAAGUUUUUAACCCCAAUUAAUGUGUUAUGGUCUAUAGUGUUUUUCGUCCAUCUAGAAUGUGCCAAAUCUAUCAGCUUGAGAACUACAUUGCUUUCACAAUGAUACGUUGGAUUUAGGGAAGAGUAAUCAUAAACGAAAAGAAUACUAGAAGAUUUUAAUUCAAUAUAAGACUCAGAAAGAUCAACUUCAAAUAAUUUCAAUAAAUUAAGGAAGCUUUCAACCAACCUUGCUUUUUGAGAAAGAGAGCAAGAGACAAAAAAAUCAUUUAAGCCUUCUACGACAUCUGAAUCCGUAAGGGUUUUACCCCAAGCUGUUGAUCGUUUAAUGUACGUAUUGUUUGUUCUGUCCCACGACAAUAUACCAGUUAUACGAAAUCCAAGACUACCACUCGUCGUACUUCUGGAAACGGCAUCUAAUCUUUUUCGUUUUUCAAGAGGAGCGUCAUCGGCCCACAACUGUUUUCCUAAUUUGAUAUCCAUGACACAAGGAGUUUCCAUCUGAUACAGAAUAUUUUCUAAGAUUAUAGCUUUUCCAGUUAAGGAAAAAGCAACACUUUCUGCGAUCGGGUUGAUACCCUCAAUGUCUCUACUAGAAGGCAUCCACUCACCGAAAUUCUUAGGAAUCCAGUUGUAGAGCGUAAUAUUGUCGUUACAUGUUUUAUAAAAAUCAACUUCACUUUUAAUGCAUGGCUUAAUUAGAAUUUUAUCAUCCUCACUGACUAGUACUUGGCCAUGACCAGCAGCUUGAAAUGGAAACAGUUUUAGUUUCAUCAAGAGUUAAAGAAAAAAUCCGCUAGUACAUGUUUUUUCGUCAAAAGUAUAUUUCUUGAAAAUUGCAAUACGCGUUUAGCAAUAUGCUGAAGCGUUAUUUUCGAUGUGACAGCUGUUGGGUAAGCGGAAUGUAG
Molecule: non-coding RNA, 1006 nt
Organism: Schizosaccharomyces pombe (fission yeast)
Lineage: Eukaryota; Fungi; Ascomycota; Schizosaccharomycetes; Schizosaccharomycetales; Schizosaccharomycetaceae
Source: the annotation of a GenBank genome assembly